UACAGAGGUCUCAAGCGUUGUUCGGAUUCAUUGGGCGUAAAGAGCGCGCAGGCGGUCGUUCAAGUCGAGUGUGAAAGCCCCCGGCUCAACUGGGGAGGGUCACUCGAUACUGAUCGACUCGAAGGCAGGAGAGGGUAGUGGAAUUCCCGGUGUAGUGGUGAAAUGCGUAGAUAUCGGGAGGAACACCAGUGGCGAAGGCGACUACCUGGCCUGUUCUUGACGCUGAGGCGCGAAAGCUAGGGGAGCAAACGGG
RNAcentral lists this ribosomal RNA (253 nucleotides) under uncultured bacterium. RNAcentral describes it as "partial 16S ribosomal RNA". It matches the Rfam family "Bacterial small subunit ribosomal RNA", at positions 524 to 776 of the family's 1533-position model. The record is from RNAcentral.